This 540-nucleotide ribosomal RNA is filed under the name uncultured bacterium. RNAcentral describes it as "bacterial SSU rRNA". It matches the Rfam family "Bacterial small subunit ribosomal RNA", at positions 355 to 896 of the family's 1533-position model. The record is from RNAcentral.
UGAGGAAUAUUGGUCAAUGGGCGCGANCNUGAACCAGCCAAGUAGCGUGCAGGAUGACGGCCCUAUGGGUUGUAAACUGCUUUUGUAUGGGGAUAAAGUCAAUCACGUGUGAUUGUUUGCAGGUACCAUACGAAUAAGGACCGGCUAAUUCCGUGCCAGCAGCCGCGGUAAUACGGAAGGUCCGGGCGUUAUCCGGAUUUAUUGGGUUUAAAGGGAGCGUAGGCCGGAGAUUAAGUGUGUUGUGAAAUGUAGACGCUCAACGUCUGACUUGCAGCGCAUACUGGUUUCCUUGAGUACGCACAACGUUGGCGGAAUUCGUCGUGUAGCGGUGAAAUGCUUAGAUAUGACGAAGAACUCCGAUUGCGAAGGCAGCUGACGGGAGCGCAACUGACGCUUAAGCUCGAAGGUGCGGGUAUCGAACAGGAUUAGAUACCCUGGUAGUCCGCACAGUAAACGAUGGAUGCCCGCUGUUGGUACCUGGUAUCAGCGGCUAAGCGAAAGCAUUAAGCAUCCCACCUGGGGAGUACGACCGCAAGGUUG